Molecule: transfer RNA, 75 nt
Filed under: Streptomyces turgidiscabies Car8
Lineage: Bacteria; Bacillati; Actinomycetota; Actinomycetes; Kitasatosporales; Streptomycetaceae
Description: tRNA-Val
Rfam family: tRNA
About the family: Transfer RNA (tRNA) molecules are approximately 80 nucleotides in length.
Source: RNAcentral
GCGCGAUUAGCUCAGCGGGAGAGCGCUUCCCUGACACGGAAGAGGUCACUGGUUCAAUCCCAGUAUCGCGCACGC